AGGAGGAAAGAAACUGUUUUUGGUUUCUUCCUAUUUUUUUUUUUUUUUAUGUUUAAAGGGACGAAAAUUGGUUAAAAGGCAUGGAGACUUGACCCGAAUUGACCACUUCUUUUUUUUUUCCUUUUUCAAGAAGGGAAAAAUUCCAAAACGAGAAUUUGAAUCAGCCGCUUGCCUGCACACAAAUCUGCUGCCUGUUCCUGACCGUCUGUCCACAAUAGCCAUUUGAGGCUGUCAGCUGGUCUUGUUUACGAUAUUACAUGCAACAGACAACCCUUUUCUUUUCCUUUCUUGUACGUGUGUCCAUUUAACUGUGUUGUCCUGAAUUCCGGUCCUAUCUCUAAAAAAGGGUAUAUAUACUAUGUAUUAUAUACAUGGACAACAACAACAACACACACACAAAAAUGGCUUUUUUUUUUCCAUCCUUUUAUUCCGGGCGACCCCGAUGGGUCCAAGAAAAAGGUAAAGCCAAUGAUCUUUCGAACCCUUAGACACAGGAAAAAAAAACGUGGAAAAAGUAGGGAUCAUGAACCUUAUACCAUCUGUCGCUGCGUAUGCUGAUGAAGUGUGUCAGUGACUUGAUUACACAACCGCACUAACAUUUGAUUGAGGUGGGAUUAAUUUCCGUUCGUUCCGCAGUGGCUUAUACCAGUUAUGCAACAGUGCCGGCUUCUCUCCACGUGAAAAAGAGUUUCCGUGUGUGCGUUUUAAUGAUUUAUAGUUCGUUAGAUGCUGCAAAUUGCGGCGCAAUCAGCCGGCCGGAUAACGGAAAGUCUCGGUAUCCCAAUUUUAUUUAUUUUUUUUUUACAUUCUUAUUUCAUUUUUUUCCUUCUUUCUCUUUAUCGUUUCGCUUGUUAUUGCUUAACAAAUAUCCCCGAACAAAGUUUCUCGUUUUUCUGCGGAGACAUUCAAGAAAAAUCCACUUUCUUUUCCUGCCGAUUUCACACGCAGACAUGGAUGCAACAUUUCGGGAUUUCCGUCAUGUCCACUGAAAAAUGUCAAGGACGCACCACCAACUUAACGGGGGUGAGGCUCAUCUCGACUUAUUUAUAUAAGAUGACUACCCAGGCUUCCCAGUGCGGGAGACCUCUGGAUUCACGCGGACGCACCUCGGCAACAAUCAAAGACAAUAAAGAACGCACUAACAAUAGCGACGCGGUACCUUAAAGUCGAUGAGUGGCGUUUUAGUUUUAAAGAAAAACUGCGUGACGCCCGUCGACUAAAAGAAAAAAUAGUUAACCACAAUUUGUUUUUGUUUCGAGGAAAAUAAAAGGGGAGAAUUUGUGUGGAAACACUUGCGCGCCGCUCAUUGUCCCGGAAAUGACAUUUAAUAUCGUUUCAACUAAAUUGAAUUUCCUUACUGACCUCAUGGCGCUGUCUCACAUGUACACAUUCUUUCAUCUUCAAUUUUUAUUCAAAUGUUCACGGUCCGUUGUUUUUCCUCUUCAACUUGCCCAUAGAUUGUUGUCGUGUAAUUGGUUACAGUCCACAGUUGUUAUAUUAGGUAGGGUAGCCGAAUCCUGUGUUGUGUUAUUUAUCGUUGCUGUUAUCAUCUCUUGUUUUCCUCCCGUUUGCAUACGUAGUCGAUCUAGCUCUACCGAAUAGAAAGGAAAAAUUUGAAUAUAAGCAAAUGCCGAUCGAUUCUGA
Molecule: long non-coding RNA, 1644 nt
Filed under: Daphnia magna
Lineage: Eukaryota; Metazoa; Arthropoda; Branchiopoda; Diplostraca; Daphniidae
Description: uncharacterized LOC123470030
Source: RNAcentral